RNAcentral lists this ribosomal RNA (114 nucleotides) under uncultured bacterium. Its description in RNAcentral is "partial 16S ribosomal RNA". It matches the Rfam family "Bacterial small subunit ribosomal RNA", at positions 397 to 508 of the family's 1533-position model. The record is from RNAcentral.
CCGCGUGGAGGAUGAAGGCCCUCUGGGUUGUAAACUUCUUUUAUUAGGGAAGAAACCGGUUUUUUCUAAAGCCGUUGACGGUACCUAAUGAAUAAGCACCGGCUAACUCCGUUC